Molecule: transfer RNA, 85 nt
Filed under: Thermoplasmata archaeon
Lineage: Archaea; Methanobacteriati; Thermoplasmatota; Thermoplasmata
Also listed under: 1 other name
Description: tRNA-Leu
Rfam family: tRNA
About the family: Transfer RNA (tRNA) molecules are approximately 80 nucleotides in length.
Source: RNAcentral
GCAGGGGUAGCCAAGCCUGGUCAACGGCGCAAGGUUCAGAGCCUUGUCCUGCAGAGGUUCAAGGGUUCAAAUCCCUUCCCCUGCA